UGUCAUUAAUCCCCCCUCAGAUGCUCUCCCUUGCUGUGCACACGGUUAUCCCACGGUCCUUGCUGCUUGCGGAGUGCCUUUCGAAGUCCUUUUUAGUGUCUCUUGUUGCUCCCUCCUGGCUGCGCUGAUGACCUGAAUCCACUCAAAAUGUUCACCUUUCACAAUCACUCUGACUUUGAGGAGGACGCAGGAGUCUACAUGGUGCCAAAUCAGGCUGAUUCCCAGUGUCAGAUCUGGCCGGCAUGGUUUUCCUUGGACCCCAUCAACUCCCCCAGAACUGCACACAAGGUUCCUUCACUCCCAUCAGCCUCUGUUUUUCAAUCUGUCACCCCCAGCCAAAGAAACUUGCCUGAGUUUGAGGGGCGGCAGCUCGGCUCAGUGCCUGGUGUACAAGGAAAGCCCUAAUAAGAAAAAGAUGAAACAGA
This 425-nucleotide long non-coding RNA is filed under the name Fukomys damarensis (Damara mole-rat). RNAcentral's name for it is "lncRNA (ENSFDAG00000031918.1)". Lineage: Eukaryota; Metazoa; Chordata; Mammalia; Rodentia; Bathyergidae. The record is from RNAcentral.